UUUUGGACAAUGGGCGCAAGCCUGAUCCAGCAAUGCCGCGUGAGUGAAGAAGGCCUUCGGGUUGUAAAGCUCUUUUGUCAGGGAAGAAACGGUGAGCUCUAAUACAGUUUGCUAAUGACGGUACCUGUAGAAUAAGCACCGGCUAACUACGUGCCAGCAGCCGCGGUAAUACGUAGGGUGCAAGCGUUAAUCGGAAUUACUGGGCGUAAAGCGUGCGCAGGCGGUUAUGUAAGUCAGAUGUGAAAUCCCCGGGCUCAACCUGGGAAUGGCAUUUGAGACUGCAUGGCUAGAGUGUGUCAGAGGGGGGUAGAAUUCCACGUGUAGCAGUGAAAUGCGUAGAGAUGUGGAGGAAUACCGAUGGCGAAGGCAGCCCCCUGGGAUAACACUGACGCUCAUGCACGAAA
Molecule: ribosomal RNA, 404 nt
Filed under: uncultured bacterium
Lineage: Bacteria
Description: bacterial SSU rRNA
Rfam family: Bacterial small subunit ribosomal RNA
Source: RNAcentral